CAAGUCGAACGGAGAUUACAGGCGGAAGUUUUCGGAUGGAAGCUUGUAAACUUAGUGGCGGACGGGUGAGUAACACGUGAGCAACCUGCCUAUCAGAGGGGGAUAACGAUUGGAAACGAUCGCUAAUACCGCAUGACAUAGCGGAAUCGCAUGGUUCUGUUAUCAAAGAUUUUAUCGCUGAUAGAUGGGCUCGCGUCCGAUUAGAUAGUUGGUGGGGUAACGGCCUACCAAGUCGACGAUCGGUAGCCGGACUGAGAGGUCGAACGGCCACAUUGGGACUGAGACACGGCCCAGACUCCUACGGGAGGCAGCAGUGGGGGAUAUUGCACAAUGGGGGAAACCCUGAUGCAGCGACGCCGCGUGAGGGAAGACGG
Molecule: ribosomal RNA, 374 nt
Filed under: uncultured bacterium
Lineage: Bacteria
Description: bacterial SSU rRNA
Rfam family: Bacterial small subunit ribosomal RNA
Source: RNAcentral